This 1346-nucleotide ribosomal RNA is filed under the name uncultured bacterium. RNAcentral's name for it is "bacterial SSU rRNA". It matches the Rfam family "Bacterial small subunit ribosomal RNA". The record is from RNAcentral.
GAGUUUGAUCCUGGCUCAGGAUGAACGCUGGCGGCGUGCCUAAGGCAUGCAAGUCGAACGGUCCCGACAUUAGUCGGGGUAGUGGCGAACGGGUGAGUAACACGUACGAACUUACCCCCCAGUCAAAGACAGCCCACCGAAAGGCGGAGUAAUCUUGGAUAGUCCCCCAACAUUAUGUCGGGGGUAAAGGGCAUAACUGCCCGCUUGGGGAGAGGCGUGCGGCCCAUCAGCUUGUUGGUAGGGUAAUGGCCUACCAAGGCAGCGACGGGUAGCCGGACUGAGAGGUUGAUCGGCCACAAGGGCACUGAGACACGGGCCCUACUCCUACGGGAGGCAGCAGCUAGGAAUAUUGCGCAAUGGGCGCAAGCCUGACGCAGCGACGCCGCGUGCGGGAUGAAGACCCUCGGGUUGUAAACCGUAUGCCUCGUGCUUUGCACGGGGAAAGCGCCUACUAACUACGUGCCAGCAGUCGCGGUAAUACGUAGGGCGCGAGCGUUAUCCGGAAUUAUUGGGCGUAAAGGGUCCGUAGGCGGUUUUUUAAGUCCUGUCUUAAAACCUCCGACCUAAUCGGAGAACAGGGCGGGAUACUAAAAAACUAGAACUAAAUUAGGGCCGCUGGAACUUAUUGUGUAGGGGUUAAAUCCGUGGAUACAAUAAGGAACACCAAGAGCGAAGGCAGGUGGCUAGAUUUACGUUGACGCUCAAGGACGAAAGCUAGGGUAGCAAACCGGAUUAGAGACCCGGGUAGUCCUAGCCCUAAACGAUCCCCGCUAGCUGCUCCGGCUUUACGCUGGAGUGGCGUAAGCUAACGCGUUAAGCGGGGCGCCUGGGGAGUACAACCGCAAGGUCGAAACUCAAACAAAUUGACGGGGAGGCGCACAACCAGUGGAGCAUGUGGUUUAAUUCGAAAAAAAGCGCUGAACCUUACCUGGGCUUGACAUUCUAGGCACUUAGCGCUCCGAAAGGAGAAAGCGAUUCCGACUAUGUUGGAAACCUAGAACAGCUGGUGCAUGGCUGUCGUCAGCUCGUGGCGUGAGCCGUUCGCUUAAGUGCGGUAACGAGCGCAACCCCCGCCCCGUGUUACCCGUGUCACGGGGGACAGGUCCGACGUUACGUCGGACAGGAAGGAGGGGAUGACGUCAAGUCAGCAUGUCGCUUAUGCCCAGGGCUACACACAUCCUACAAUGGCCGUGACAAUGAGCCGCCAAACCGCAAGGUGGAGCUAAUCUCAUCAAAAACGGUCUCAGUUGGGAUUGCAGGCUGCAACUCGCCUGCAUGAACUUGGAAUUGGUAGUAAUCGGGGGUCAGCAGACCCCGGUGAAUACGUUCUCGCCUCUAACGGACAC